This 851-nucleotide long non-coding RNA is filed under the name Scleropages formosus (Asian bonytongue). RNAcentral describes it as "lncRNA (ENSSFOG00015027055.1)". Lineage: Eukaryota; Metazoa; Chordata; Actinopteri; Osteoglossiformes; Osteoglossidae. The record is from RNAcentral.
AUGUAGGGCUCUGAAAAAGUAGCGUUUGGCUGCGGUGAAAACCGUGCUGAAACUUUAACUUCACCCUUCUGUCCAUGUGAGGCGUAGCGCGAGCCGCUCGGUACUGCCGAACUCACCAUCCAUCUCACCAUGAUUGAGAAGAACGGGACCACAGCGCGUAACUUCUUGUACGAGCAGCACGAGGUGCCCGGACAGCGGCGCGGUGGCCAAGUGGGGGGGGGGGGGGAUCAUGGUGCUACUCGCUGCGGAGGAUCACCUGGCCGCGCGCGCGGGUCCGUGCUGGAUCCACGAGCGGGACGAAGCACCGACCUCGUGGGACCGCCGCCUCUCUCUGCGCUUCGGAGCAGCGGAGCCUCUGACUCGGAGCGCGCGCGAGCAGGAUGUCUGGGAAGGGUCACGGCAAACCCGAGCCUAACCCGGCAACACGGGGUGCAAGUCUAGAGGGGGAGGGCACACACCCAGGAUGGGAUGCCAGUCCGUCGCAAGGGACCCCAAGCGGGACUCGAACCCCAGACCCGCCAGAGAGCAGGACCCCGUCAACACCGCUGCACCACCGCACCCCCCGCCAGAGGAACUUCACUGCUCUUAAAUGAAGAAAAAUCACUUCUGUAUUCAGCGCUAGACGUACCUGCUAUUUGGAGUUGCUUAUUAAAGAGGUAAAUGACUUGCCUGACGGGAUGCAAACCUUUUCCUUACCCGAGGUUUGUAAGAGCCGGAGAUGAAAGCGCAUAUUUACAUUUUACCCACUUGCAGCAAUGAAUGCAUUGUUGUUUCCAAAUGACUUCGCACAUGUUCCUCCUAACCUUUAAGCAUUAAAUCUCUCAUACAUUUUCCUGAAAUAUGCUCCAGCU